Non-coding RNA from Arachis ipaensis, 2879 nucleotides. The record is from RefSeq and is a predicted model, not a curated record. NCBI's taxonomy places the organism in Eukaryota, Viridiplantae, Streptophyta, Magnoliopsida, Fabales, Fabaceae.
GUAGAAAGCUCCGUCACCGUCCUAGAAAGCUGUGUUGCUGUUGGAGAAAGAUCCAUCGCCGUCGCGUGGAAGCUCUGUGGCCAUCACCAUAUCCCUUGUUCAAGCGCUCUCUCUCUCUGUUUGCCGGUGUGGCCGUGUCCUUCGUCGUCGCCGUCACUCCCCUUCCUCCUCGCCGCCGGGAAGCAGGUUGGUGGCAUAAAGGUGUUCUCCUCUAGUCGCGAACGUCUACGCAGGCGUGGUAUCAUCACCGUCGCGAUCUUCUAUAGUCGCCCUUCUUGUUGUCGUGGUCACACCUGUUCCGUUUAUCACCUCCGUGCGUACGAGUCUGCUGCUCGUCCGGGCUCCGUUCCCUGGUUGGGUUGAGGAUGGAGGGAAGAAAUGGUUUGUCUGGUGGUUGCAAGGAAGUUGGGAAUGCAAGCAAUGGAUCAAUUUGCAAAAAUGAUAGCACAGAGAAUGGUUGUGAUAGUGAAGCUCGUCAGCCCAGUUUGGAUAAUGAUGCAUCAGAUUAUGGAGACGUUAUAGGUCUCACAGCAAGAGAUAUAUGUAAGAAGGUCUUUCGGAGUGAGGAACGUGCUUAUGAUUUCUUCGCAAAACUUGGAAAAUGUCUUGGGUUUGGGGUUCGAAAGGGUGACUACGGGAAAGAUGAGGAGGGGAAUUUGAUAAGGCGAAGAUUCUUUUGCAACAAGGCUGGAUUAAGGGACCAAAAGCAUUACAACCGAGUGGAUAGAAAAAAGAUCACAUCGUCCAGAAAUGUGCACGAAUUGCAAGGCAAUGCUGUCAGUAUAUCUUGAUUGGGUAUCUUGCACCUGGAAGGUAAGAAAGGUGAACCUGGAACAUAAUCACCCACUGACGCCCAGGAUAAUGGUACACAUGAUUCCUGGAUUUCGUCGUAUGUCAGAUUCUGCCAAAGCACACAUAGAUGGGAUGCAGCGGUACGACUUACCAACUUCAAAGAUACUGGGGUACAUGGCAGGAAUUUCUGGGGGGCAUUCUCUCCUUGGAUUCACCAAAAAUGAUGCUUACAAUUACAUCGAGAAGAGCAAACGCGAUAAGAUUAUGGAUGGUGACACUAAUGCAGCUGUCAUAUACCUUGAGGGAAAGGCCACAGCCGAUCCGAUGUCGAUGGCAAGGUACAACCUCACCGAUGAUGGUAUGUUGGCGAACCUGUUCUGGGCUUAUGGAGCGAGUCGAGUUGAUUACCAAUAUUUUGGUGACGUCCUUUCGUUUGACUCAACCUACAAGAAAAACAAAUAUAAGAGGCCGUUGGUCAUAUUCUCUGGCACGAAUAACCAUAAACAAACAACAAUCUUUGGCUUUGGUCUUGUUUUGGAUGAGAACAUACCUUCUUACACGUGGAUGCUCGAGAGCCUGGUUGAAGUAAUGUGUGGCAAGACACCGUCUGUAGUUGUUACAGACGGAGAUGAUGCCAUGAUUGCAGCUGUGCGAAAAGUUUUCCCACGAGCAACUCAUAGGCUGUGUGCGUGGCACCUACAAAGAAAUGUAACCUCGAACUCAAACGAAGAAAUGUUUCGGGAUGUGUUUGCAAAGUGGUUAUAUGCUGACAUGAAAAUUGCUGACUUUGAGGCUGAGUGGGCUCAGGCAGUGAUAGACUUUGAAUUGGGUGACAAGUUAUGGGCUUCCCAGAUCUACGAAAAGCGGGAGAUAUGGGCCAAUUCAUAUCUGCGGAACAAGUUUUGUGCUGGCUUUUGGACGACAUCUAGGUGCGAGGGAAUCAACGCUAAUGUAAAAAAAUUCCUCACUUCUAGGUACAGCAUUCUAGAACUUGUUCAGAAUCUCGAGUUGCUUGUUCGGGAGUACCAAAACAAUGAGCUUCUUGCAAAGUUUAAUACAUUAUAUGGCAUGCCGGUCAUCACAAGUUGCUUGGAUUCCAUUGAAAGAUCUGCUGCAAAAGUGUAUACCUAAGCUGUAUUCAACGAGGUUAGAAAAGAGAUAGAUCGGGUGGGCACAGUUAACUUUGUUAGUCGAAAGAGGGUCUCCACAACAAUGUUGUAUAUCACAGAAGACUACGGUAACCCGGGAAGACGAGUUAUGAUGCUAUUCGAGAAUAAUGUGGUUAAGUUAGAAUGUCGUUGUCGGUUAUGGGAAUGAGUGGAGUACCCUUGUAGGUACAUGUUUUUCGUUAUGAAGCACGAGCAUUUGUAUGCUAUUCCCGAUCGCUUGAUAAUUAAAAGAUGGAGACAAGAUGCCAAGGACAUCGGACAGUAUGUUGAUGACAUCGAAGAGGAAUCCGAGAGGGGCUUUUUGCUGAGGCAUGGUGCCCUUUAUGCAGCUUCUCAGUGGAUGCUUUUCGUCGGUGCCAAGAAGCAAGAGCUGUUUAGAGUUGCAUUGAAUGGGAUUAGAAACGUUUGCAGGGACCUGGAAAAUGGGAAUGCUAAACCCACAGAUGGUGCUUCGAAGAGGGUUGAUGUCGGCAUUAGAGACCCUGUGGUUGUUAGAACGAAAGGAGCACCUUCUUCGAAGAAGUUAAAGUCGAAGAAAAGAAGGUGUACUACUUGUAGAAAAACAGGGCACACUAAAAGGAGGUGUACAGUUAGCAGGAGGUCCUUUAAUGAAACAGAUGCCACGAAAGGUGCUGAUAUAUCCAACACAGACCGUGCGGAGGUUAAGAAUGUUGAGGCGGACUGCAAGAAAGGAGUAACUAUAGCAGGUGUUGAUGUCGAUGUAUUGGAGGAACAUCUGAGUGGUGACAAAAAAUGUGACGGUGAUCGGAUAGUUUGCACAGCUCAAAGCCAGAACAUGCAAGAGUUAGGCGAUCAGAAUGAACUUGACUGGGAAACAAAGGUCAUGGAUAUUUUGAGGAAGCUGAAUCCAAGAACGGAAGCCAAGUCUUGAUGCAUGGGGGAGGUGUGUGAUUGCAA